Molecule: ribosomal RNA, 536 nt
Filed under: uncultured Glomus
Lineage: Eukaryota; Fungi; Glomeromycota; Glomeromycetes; Glomerales; Glomeraceae
Description: SSU rRNA
Rfam family: Eukaryotic small subunit ribosomal RNA
Source: RNAcentral
AGCAGCCGCGGUAAUUCCAGCUCCAAUAGCGUAUAUUAAAGUUGUUGCAGUUAAAAAGCUCGUAGUUGAAUUUCGGGAUCAAUAUAUCGGUCGUGCCUUUGGUACGUACUGGUAUCAUUGAUUUCUCCUUUCUGACGAACCAUGAUGUCAUUAAUUUGGUGUUAUGAGGAGUUAGGACUGUUACUUUGAAAAAAUUAGAGUGUUUAAAGCAGGCAUUAGCUUGAAUACAUUAGCAUGGAAUAAUGAAAUAGGACGUUUGACCCUAUUUUGUUGGUUUUAGGUCGACGUAAUGAUUAAUAGGGAUAGUUGGGGGCAUUAGUAUUCAAUUGUCAGAGGUGAAAUUCUUGGAUUUAUUGAAGACUAACUACUGCGAAAGCAUUUACCAAGGAUGUUUCAUUAAUCAAGAACGAAAGUUAGGGAUCGAAGACGAUCAGAUACCGUCGUAGUCUUAACCAUAAACUAUGCCGACUAGGGAUCGGAUGAUGUUUAAUUUUAUAAUGACUCAUUCGGCGUCCUUAACGGGAAACCAAAGGUUC